Molecule: ribosomal RNA, 388 nt
Filed under: uncultured bacterium
Lineage: Bacteria
Description: bacterial SSU rRNA
Rfam family: Bacterial small subunit ribosomal RNA
Source: RNAcentral
AACGAACGUUAGCGGCGCGCUUAACACAUGCAAGUCGAACGGUAACAGGCCUUCGGGUGCUGACGAGUGGCGAACGGGUGAGUAAUGCAUCGGAACGUGCCCAAUCGUGGGGGAUAACGUAGCGAAAGUUACGCUAAUACCGCAUAAGCCCUGAGGGGGAAAGUGGGGGACCGCAAGGCCUCACGCGAAUGGAGCGGCCGAUGUCAGAUUAGCUAGUUGGUGGGGUAAAGGCCCACCAAGGCGACGAUCUGUAGCGCGUCUGAGAGGAUGAUCCGCCACACUGGGACUGAGACACGGCCCAGACUCCUACGGGAGGCAGCAGUGGGGAAUUUUGGACAAUGGGCGCAAGCCUGAUCCAGCCAUGCCGCGUGCGGGACGAAGGCCUCGG